UGGGGAAUAUUGCACAAUGGAGGGAACUCUGAUGCAGCGACGCCGCGUGAACGAAGAAGGCUUUCGAGUCGUAAAGUUCUUUUAUAUGGGAAGAUAAUGACGGUACCAUAAGAAAAAGCCCCGGCUAACUACGUGCCAGCAGCCGCGGUAAUACGUAGGGGGCUAGCGUUGUCCGGAAUCACUGGGCGUAAAGGGUUCGCAGGCGGAAAUGCAAGUCAGGUGUAAAGGGCAGUAGCUUAACUACUGUAAGCAUUUGAAACUGCAUAUCUUGAGAAGAGUAGAGGUAAGUGGAAUUUUUAGUGUAGCGGUGAAAUGCGUAGAUAUUAAAAAGAAUACCGGUGGCGAAGGCGACUUACUGGGCUCAUUCUGACGCUGAGGAACGAAAGCGUGGGUAGCAAACAGG
This 403-nucleotide ribosomal RNA is filed under the name bacterium. Its description in RNAcentral is "partial 16S ribosomal RNA". It matches the Rfam family "Bacterial small subunit ribosomal RNA", at positions 355 to 776 of the family's 1533-position model. RNAcentral also lists the same sequence under 1 other name. The record is from RNAcentral.